RNAcentral lists this ribosomal RNA (1046 nucleotides) under Flavobacterium sp. dR5-12. RNAcentral describes it as "bacterial SSU rRNA". It matches the Rfam family "Bacterial small subunit ribosomal RNA", at positions 38 to 1090 of the family's 1533-position model. Lineage: Bacteria; Pseudomonadati; Bacteroidota; Flavobacteriia; Flavobacteriales; Flavobacteriaceae. The record is from RNAcentral.
GGCCAUUCGGCAGCUUACCAUGCAGUCGAGGGGUAUAGGUUUUCGUGACCUAGAGACCGGCGCACGGGUGCGUAACGCGUAUGCAAUCUACCUUUCACAGAGGGAUAGCCCAGAGAAAUUUGGAUUAAUACCUCAUAGUAUAGCGGUUUCGCAUGAAACCACUAUUAAAGUUCCAACGGUGAAAGAUGAGCAUGCGUCCCAUUAGCUAGAUGGUAAGGUAACGGCUUACCAUGGCUACGAUGGGUAGGGGUCCUGAGAGGGAGAUCCCCCACACUGGUACUGAGACACGGACCAGACUCCUACGGGAGGCAGCAGUGAGGAAUAUUGGUCAAUGGACGCAAGUCUGAACCAGCCAUGCCGCGUGCAGGAUGACGGUCCUAUGGAUUGUAAACUGCUUUUGUACGAGAAGAAACAUUCCGACGUGUCGGAACUUGACGGUAUCGUAAGAAUAAGGAUCGGCUAACUCCGUGCCAGCAGCCGCGGUAAUACGGAGGAUCCAAGCGUUAUCCGGAAUCAUUGGGUUUAAAGGGUCCGUAGGCGGUUUAGUAAGUCAGUGGUGAAAGCCCAUCGCUCAACGGUGGAACGGCCAUUGAUACUGCUAGACUUGAAUUAUUAGGAAGUAACUAGAAUAUGUAGUGUAGCGGUGAAAUGCUUAGAGAUUACAUGGAAUACCAAUUGCGAAGGCAGGUUACUACUAAUUGAUUGACGCUGAUGGACGAAAGCGUGGGGGAGCGAACAGGAUUAGAUACCCUGGUAGUCCACGCCGUAAACGAUGGAUACUAGCUGUUGGGGGCAACUUCAGUGGCUAAGCGAAAGUGAUAAGUAUCCCACCUGGGGAGUACGGGCGCAAGCCUGAAACUCAAAGGAAUUGACGGGGGCCCGCACAAGCGGUGGAGCAUGUGGUUUAAUUCGAUGAUACGCGAGGAACCUUACCAAGGCUUAAAUGUAGAUUGACCGUUUUGGAAACAGAACUUUCGCAAGACAAUUUACAAGGUGCUGCAUGGUUGUCGUCAGCUCGUGCCGUGAGGUGUCAGGUUAAGUCCUAU